Molecule: non-coding RNA, 404 nt
Organism: Zonotrichia albicollis (white-throated sparrow)
Lineage: Eukaryota; Metazoa; Chordata; Aves; Passeriformes; Passerellidae
Source: RefSeq, a predicted model, not a curated record
AGGCAUUCAUCCAAACCAAGCCAUUUCAGGUUCAGGCCAGUUGGAGUAGCUGAAUACAGACACAGAGAUGCUACUUAAGGACAAGAUGAAGUAAUGAGCUUUUUCAGUGAGGACUUUCUGCUCAGCAGCUGGGAGAGGAGAUGUGCAAGCUGCAGAGCUACGUGGUCUCAGCUGAGCCCAAGGGAGGAAGUCACACCAAAGCCAAGUGACCAAGAAGUAUUUGGAAAACCUGCUUUGCCAGGAGCUGUAUGAUUUUCCUGCCAGAUGCAUUUCUGAGUGGAUUAUUGCUCUGUACAGUCAGUGGACUCGUACCAAGGCUGCUGGCACAAGGUUUAAACCUCUCUGCAAAUGUAUGGGGACCAAGUGGUGUGAAAACACUGCUGAUUACCUCGAUGCAUACCAGG